UACCAGACAGGCCUGCAUUUAGCCUGUAUUCUCUAGCAACAUGUCAGCACUGGGCUAGCUACAAGGGAACAGCAGUGGUACUUUCCGAUUUCCAGGAGCAAGUAUGUGGCUAACUUCCCAGUUAUUGAACCCUGAAUGCCGAUAAGAAGGCUGACAGCAUCAGACUAGAGAGACCGUUAGACUACAGUGUGAGCUGUCUCGGGACACUCUCAGAUAUGAACAACUUCCAACCAAUCAGGGGGGAGAAAAAAAGGAACCAUGUAGUCUCCUGCCUGGCAGUAUUUGCAAGCGCUGAACAGAGGAAUACUUUUCCAGUUAGAAUGUUCUGGACUGAAGAUGAGGUAUCAAGAAUGUGUCUUUUCGUCUUUUGUGAUCUUCAGCGGCUGCUGCUUCUUCACUAUUUGCUGCUAUAAAGAGGGCCUGAAUGGGACCCGCUUUGAAGCUUGAAGCUGUUUGACCUGUGGCCUGAAGUAGAGAUUUGAGUGUCCACCCUCCAGAGUUCUCUCCUGAUUAAAAGGGAACAACAAAAUUCUAUGAAGGAGAUGACACCAUCCUGCUCUCUGAACAGAAGAAAGGUGAAAAUAGGAAGCAUCUCGAGUCAAGCCCACCCACAAGAGGAAUACAACACAAU
This is a non-coding RNA of Rattus norvegicus (Norway rat), 631 nucleotides long. NCBI's taxonomy places the organism in Eukaryota, Metazoa, Chordata, Mammalia, Rodentia, Muridae. The record is from RefSeq and is a predicted model, not a curated record.